CCUACGGGUGGCAGCAGUGAGGAAUAUUGGUCAAUGGGCGAGAGCCUGAACCAGCCAAGCCGCGUGAAGGAUGAAGGAUCUAUGGUUGGUAAACUUCUUUUAUAGGGGAAUAAAGUGAGGUACGUGUCCCUUUUUGUAUGUACCAUAUGAAUAAGCAUCGGCUAACUCCGUGCCAGCAGCCGCGGUAAUACGGAGGAUGCGAGCGUUAUCCGGAUUUAUUGGGUUUAAAGGGUGCGUAGGUGGUUAAAUAAGUCAGCGGUGAAAGUUUGUGGCUCAACCCUAGAAUUGCCGUUGAUACUGGUUGGCUUGAGUAUAGUUGAGGUAGGCGGAAUGCGUGGUGUAGCGGUGAAAUGCAUAGAUAUCACGCAGAACACCGAUUGCGAAGGCAGCUUACUAAACUAUAACUGACGCUGAGGCACGAAAGCGUGGGGAUCAAACAGGAUUAGAUACCCUUGUAGUC
This 460-nucleotide ribosomal RNA is filed under the name uncultured bacterium. RNAcentral's name for it is "partial 16S ribosomal RNA". It matches the Rfam family "Bacterial small subunit ribosomal RNA", at positions 338 to 795 of the family's 1533-position model. The record is from RNAcentral.